This 56-nucleotide non-coding RNA is filed under the name Plasmodium falciparum 3D7. Lineage: Eukaryota; Apicomplexa; Aconoidasida; Haemosporida; Plasmodiidae. The record is from RNAcentral.
CAUUUUUUUGAGUAUUGUUUUGUUUAGCUUCAUGAAAAUUAUCUGUACACCAUCCA